GAAGGCCUGGAGCUCAGCUGGCCCAGAUCUGCUAGCAGUUCUGGAAUGGUUGGCAACUUUCCCUUUCAGAUGAUGUUGUUUGGCAUCAUAGCCCCAGCAUGUUUACCUGAAACCCCGUGCCAUGCUGUUCGCAGCAAGUUUGUGAAACAUAUCAAACCAUCAGCAGUUUUCCUUCUUGAAUUUGUGGAGAAUCUAAAACCUGCCUCAUGCAGGAGCAAGGCCAUGGCAGCAGAGUGUCAGUGCAUGGUGUAGGUGCCCAGCAGUGUGUGUCACUGGCUUCAGGCCCAUUGCACGAAGCAUCAGCAGAUUCUCUACCAGCCUCACUGGAAACUUGUAAAGCUACUGCAACGUUUUCCAUUGGAAACCAAUAUCCAGAUGCUCAGCUUGGAAAAGGAGGAGCGCACAGCUUCCUAGAGGCAACUGAUGGCGUGAGGAACGUGCAGUGCUGCACUGUGGGGUUACACAAGCAGCAUGAGGUCAUCAAACUGAAAGACUGGAGUACAGGUAUCUGAAAGACUUUGUAGUACCCGGCUUCAGAGUUUGUCAGGACCAAAGCAGCUGUGCGAAUGCGUCGUCGUUCCUGAUUAGGCACUUCUGAUGUUCAGUCUCCUAAUCUGAAGAAAGUCAGGGAAUUUUGCAUCAUUGUGUCAGCAAGAUCCUGCACUUCAUCAUCUGUCCAAGAAGAGAACAGCAAAGCUGAGCAAGGUCAGAGAACUGAGCCGUCCAAGGAAGGUCCUUGCAGGUCUGCUGAGACACAGAUGAAGCUGGACCAACAAGCAAAGCAGUCGCUCUGUAGGUUGAUGCUGAAGAAGACCCAGGAAUGUCUAAGAACAAACGUGUUAUUGCCCGUGUUUUCCUUAGAACCACAGAACGCCUUGAGUUGGGAGGGACCUCAAAGAUCAUCCUGUUCCACUCCCACACCAUGGGCAGGAUUGCCAACUUAUUCAGCCUCUGCCCUUCACGAUGACUUUCCUCAAUACUUGCAUUUGAAUGUUGCUUUCCCCUUUCUGGAUGAUUAUCUGUCCUCUGCUGUGAGGAGGAAUGAAGCUAUAAGGACUCAUUGCCAAGAAAUGCUAGUGGAUACACACCUUCAACCCCCUCUCGCAGAGAACUGUUGAUGGGCUUACGUGGCUGAGGUAUUUAUGAAGGAACUUUUUGUACAAGGAACCUGAUAUUAAAGUAAUGUCAAUCUCAAGGAAAGCCAUCGUUAGACGUGCAUUAAUAUCAGUUCAUUGCGAAAAUGUGCAGUUCAGAGGACUGAGACAAAGAGGAGAUGCUCUGCAGAGGAAAGUGGGACCACAGAAGGGCUGGUGUGAGCUGUGCCUGGGUCCAGAAAGCCCCUGAGCCUCUGUGAAGGAGGCUGGGCUUCCUGAGGUAUCGAGGGACAAUCAGUCACCAUCCACACUCAACAAACUAGAAGAUGAUACUGCAGGAUUCAAUGUAGCUCUGUAAUGUUUGGGGAGGUGUGACUAUGUUGGAGAAAGCAGUAAAUAAAAAUACAACUCUAUUGGAAUUUAAUGUAACCAUCUAACAAGUGAGUACUUGUACCUGUGUGCUUAUAUAAAUAACUCAGCCAAAGGAAAGGAAAAACUGUGAACUUAAUAAGCAUCGAUUAAUGUACAAAAUGUAAGGCCAACACUAUAAAGUUAUCCUCAGCUCUAUGCUAAUUCUGCAGCCAUUUCCAUAGAGGCUCUUUCUGAUUGGAAGCAGAUAAUGUCUGCUUCUCCAUUCUGUCAAGAAAAAUCAAUUUGGGGACAUCAUAGAGUAAAUCAAUAUUUUCCUACUACAUUACCUGUGUUUCUUGCAUAUACCAAGCCCCAUUCCUCGUACAGGCAAAUCUGUGUUUCCAAAGCUAACAGAGGGUGCCACUGUACUGUGCUUAUGCAGAAAACAUUAAGAAUAAUGUUGUGUCAAUAUUGCACUAACUCUAAUCGCAGCAACAUUUUUAAGGACUCUUGGACAACUCAUUAUUAGCAUUUCAAGCAUUAUGAAAAUAGACAAAGGCAUUGCUUUACCUGCAAUAAAGUUCAAUGGAUAUAGCAAGAGUAUUACACACGUAAUUACCACCAUGGUAAUUUAUUCAAUAAAGCUCCCAUUUAAUUACAGGAACCUAUUACACUGAGUGAUGUGUUUAGUGUGAUUUAUAUCUCAGACAUAAAUAUUCAGAGAGACCCAUGAUGAAAAGUGCUCCUGGCUCCUCUCCAUCUGCGUUUCACUUGGGGUGCUGAUACAGGGAGGCACAACAGUGGGUCCCACUGGAUGGCCACGUGCCCAUAGGAGGUGGCUCAAGGACUGCAGCUUACAGUCCACCUGCUGUGAUCAGCUCUGCAUGGCAAGUGGGAGAAACCACCACUCAAGUUGGUGAUCAUUCUGGAAACAAUCAUUGCCAGCUGUUGGACCUGGGAUGGGAAAGGGCAGAGCCAGCAGGAUGAAGGGUGAAUAAAGCCCAUAGGCUCAAAGGCCCUAUUGAACACUCUGGCCAGACUUCUCUUUCUGUCAGCUAAAUGUGGAGACCAGCUCCUUGCUCCAGCAAGCAUUUGAUUAGGGAAAUAGUAACCAUUAUUUGGUGAUGAUUCCCUGCAGCUCAAGACUUGUCCUCUGCCACCAGAGGCAUACAUAACCCAGUGGUGAUCUGUGACAUAUAAUCUAUGAUAUCUCCUCUUACAACAUUUUGCUCAUCAUCAAACACCAAGAAAGCUGAAAUAGUAACAAAAUUUUCUUUAAGUCUCUUUGUGCAUGCAUCAACAGACCGUGUAUCUGAAAUAAUAGCAAUAUAUACUGAUGUACAUUAAAUUCAGAAUACAGAGAAUUUUUGUUCAUGGUGUGGAAAAUUAAAUAUUGUUUCCUACCAGCAUGACAUUGCAGUGUGCUCGCAGCUGCCUGCGCUCUCGCCGCCCUCGUUCCUUUCUGCUGGUGCCCUUGGGGCAUCUGAAGGCCGUGGUGACUGCACAGAGCUUCUGAACUCCAGAGCUUUAAAAGAGAAAGAUAUUUAGCGUUGUAAUAAGUCUCUGUCUCUGUAUGAGCCGAAUGUGCACUGUUUUAGUACCAUAAAAUCUGCAGAAUCACUCCAUUACUUAAGGUUUGUCAUCUACAGAUCUCAAAACUCAGAAGAAACAGCAGAAUGAAAACAUUUCUAUUUGAACAGAGCGCAUUUUUCAGCACCCAUUCCUCAGAAGAUGCUCGCUUCUGUUAUCACAAACUUAAACAACAGCAAAAACCUCAAACUCAUUCAGACUCAACCAUGUCAAACCUGACAGGAAAUGACGAUGCUCAUAAAAGCCUCAGCUUUCUACAGGGACAUCUUGCUUUUGGAAGGUGUUACCAAUUGAUAACACAAGUAAUAGUCAGCAUUCUGCAUCUAUGCUGAUACUCAAAGCUGCUGUCAGAGCUGUUCUUUAUUGACAUUGUCACGAAGGCUUUGCUCCCUAGGUAAAGAUGUUUUUGCCAGAAACAGCUGACAACAUUCCAUAAGCCAUUUCUUAGUUUAACUAUGUUAAAAGUCCAUUUUUAGAGACCAUCUUCACAACAGGCAUUUGUGAAUUUACCUAAAGGCUCACUUAGAGUCUUAAAAAAGCAUUUUAACUUGAAACUAAAUCUGGGUCUGUGUCACUACAACCAUGGGCAAGGAGCUGACGUCCUGUGUACUGACCUGGUGAGGGGCUGUACCAGCCCAGAGGAGUCCUGUUCCCUACACAGCACUCCUACUACACCAUGAAAGAUUAAUGAUGACCAGGUAGAUACUGCUUAGUCGCUUAGUGCCACAACACGUGCUCAUUCUGCUUUGUCAUUAUGCGUUUGUAAUUUCAAACCUUGUCCUUGAUGAGCUUUUAAUGAUGAGGAAACUACUCAACAAUCGAUGCUCAAGAGGUUGAAAUAAGAAAGCCACUUCAGCCACGUAGGAACCAUUGCAGAACUCCAGAGAUGCUUCAUUGCAGCAUGACAAAAGCUAGGAGGAAUGCUGUGGAGCGAUGGGGAUCUGUGGAGGAACAAAGCAAGAAUUUCUGUUCCCAUUGCUGUAUUCUCCUUCAACACAUGCUGAAAACAAUGCUGGAAAUAAAAAGAAUAAACUAUUUUGGUGCUGACAUUAUUUAACCUCACUUUAACGUAACACUUAAGGCAAGUCACUGAAGAUCAAAUCUACUGAAAGAUCUAAACAGUUUGCAUCCAGUGGAGUCAAAAGCUGCAGGUUCUGGCUCAGGACCUCAUGGCUCAGUCCUGCUGUGGUCUCACCCUUCUGGUGAUCAGAGCUCAGUGCCAUUUCACCCCAAUCAGCUCUUACUUCCAACCUAAUUUGACUGAGCUGGAGAAACCUCACACUCUCCAGAGAUUGAUUCUCCUCAAACACAGCACACAGAUAAAUAUUUUACAAGCCAUAUAAUCGAAUCACUUUCCAUUUUUCUCUUUCGCAUCUGCUGCAUGAAGGAGAUGCUGGUACCAACCUGCAGCAGUCAGGUCUGAUGCCAGGGGUCAGCAGGCACAGCUCUCCAUGUGCCAGCCUCUGCCCAUCCCUCCUCUUCCUUGGGCUCCCUCCUAGGUUCCAAAAAUAACAUUUGCUACCAUUCAGGUUAGUUUUUGACAUUGUUUUAACUCCUGCUCAACUAUAAUGAUUAUUAAAAAUAUAUAACUGCUCAUUUGUCCCAGAAAACACAUUCCUGAGGCCCUGUGCAUCAGUGGUCUGCAGUGACCUCACUGUUAGUAACAAACUUUGCACCGAGACUACUGAUGUGUGAAACCCUGAGCAGGAAGAAAACUCUACAUGUGGUGACACCCUUUAGCACCCAGUGGUCAGUAGCUAAUACAGUGUGCCUUGAAUGUGGCUACAGGGAAUUAACACUUGACACAUCAGGAUCCCACUGCAAUAACCCUACGCUUUCGACUUCAAAGUCGACAGAAGAGUAAUGUCGAGAUCAAAGACUUCCAGCACAAUUACAGGUUUUGAAGUCUGCAGGCCAUAGAAAUGGGAGGCAUUUUCCUUGAUUUGCUCUUGUAGUUUUAUGAACUCCCAAGACCUUUGAGUCACUGUUCCAAUUUUUGAUGCAAACUAAUAUUUGAUGCACAAGGAUCUGAAGGAGAGAAGGAAUUUCAGAUUAAUCUGUGCUGGCAGCAGAUGCUCUUUAACUUCCCACUGAUUGCUCAGAUAGAAUGUAAGGUUUUCCUCUGGAAAAACAAAAAAAAUCUCCCUUUUACCAUCUUAAUUAAGGAACUCCUCCAGUCCAACUUUUUUUUUUUACAACUGAGACAGCAGUAGUAGUCAGACACUCAGAAUCAUACAAUUUCCUGAUACUGUGACAGAUACGUGAUUGUCCAUUUUUCUGGUACAUGCGUUUAUCAAAUCCCUUUAUCCUUCUCUAUAUAUGAGCAAUCUUUUCUUCCUGCUCAUCUACUCGCUUUUAUCAAUAUUGGUUGCCUCGAUUCUUCUGCCAGAAGUUAUCUUUCUUCCAUGAUGUUCCACGAUGGAUCAUUUCAAAUAGAUGUAAUCAAUUGUGUUUAUUGUGAAAUUCAGUAUUUUGUGGGGAAAUAUUUUUAACUUCUUACCGGACAGCCGCUUGUAACCAGGACAUCAGGAGCACCAGAAAUGCACUGUCCCUUUUACUGCUCUUGAAUGGAAGAGCAGAUGCUGGUUUAAGGCUCAUCUAUGAUAUGGUCUAGAUUUAAACAAGAAAUAAUUGCUCAAUUACCAUGACAACAUGCCUGUGCUCAAUAUUCCGAAUGAGCUAUAAAACCUCAAUAGGAAACGAUUAACUCAGGCCUUACAAUCCAUUUCAGACAGUGCUGAAGUAAAACCUGACCAGUUUGCAUUGCACCCUGAGCACCUGCAAAAGCUGGAGAGGGCAAAAAGCACCCACUGCACUUUGGACAGCAAGGAAGUGCCAAUGCUGCCAGCACUGCUGUGUGGGGACUCCUGAAAGUCGCAAUUACUGCUUCCGUGUGGAAACUCAAUUGCUUAUCCUUUAUGAGAGAUAAUCUUUGAAUGUAGCAGUGCACCGCAUUAACCCCAUUUGUUCACAAGACAGUCCUGGGCAGUUAACAUGUUUAUAAAUCCUGUGUCUAUUUGGGGGGCUACAGUUGGGUGAUAUCCUCUUUCUGCACUACAGAGUCCUUGUAAAACAGGCUUAAUAUAGCAAUAAACCUGUUUAUUUUUGUUACGAUUCUUCCAUCACUCUCUUACUGCUUCUGUUUUCUUUUUGAAAGCACUUGAUUGUACCAUUCUCUGUCUGUUUUCAGCAUCAUAAAAUGAAAUUCACCUCAUUGAUCAAACGAUGACCUCU
Molecule: non-coding RNA, 6269 nt
Organism: Meleagris gallopavo (turkey)
Lineage: Eukaryota; Metazoa; Chordata; Aves; Galliformes; Phasianidae
Source: RefSeq, a predicted model, not a curated record